AGUUCACAUAGACCAGGCUUCCUCUUUAGAGGCAUAAGCUGUAAAACAGGAGAGUCUGUUUUAAGAGGAUCUGUUUGAAGUUUAAUGUAACUGAAGUCCAUGCACCUGAAGCCAUUAAUUGAUAUAAGUGAAGUAAGUCUUUGGGUUUCCGGUAGCUCUGACUCAGAUUCUGCUUGCCUCUUCUCCAUGAGAUUACCAAGGCAUCAGGGCAGAGACUCCCUGAGGCUAUGCUAGAAGGGUACCAUUUGAAAAGGAAGUGUAUGACCCACCGUGAAAUGGAACUGGUAGCUGGUCACCCAGGUGCUCUUCCUUGUUAACUGAUGAGAGCGAUUAUUAUGUGAGAACUUUAACAACCUGCCAAAGGAUCCCGGGGCAAGAAUGAGAGCUGAACCAUUGAAAAGCUGAGCAUCGAAGUGCCUGGGAAGCCCAAAACUCAGCACAUUCAUGCUUUUGCUGGUUUUUGACCAUUGAGAAGAAAAAAGAGUCAGCAACCAGGGAGCAGCCUCUUCUAAAAUGGUGUGUUUAUUAUGAAGUGUUCUUGGAAGUUUUCUUAUGUCAUCUGAAUCAAUAUAAUAUCAGACCUAUCAAGAUCUAUUUUUAAAGGAAAUUCUCUACAAUCUCUUCCCACAAGACUGGAGGAAACCAGGAUGUCAUUACCGUAGGCACAUGGCUGAGAUUCCCAAGAAGGAUGAGUGGAUCUGGUUCAGAACAUCUGUGAACACAGAGGGAGUGGAAACUUCACUUUCAACAUCAUCAGCCAACUUCCCUCCCAUUACAAUUCUAUCUCAAGAUCAAGGUCAUGCAACAAAA
RNAcentral lists this long non-coding RNA (810 nucleotides) under Homo sapiens (human). RNAcentral's name for it is "novel transcript". Lineage: Eukaryota; Metazoa; Chordata; Mammalia; Primates; Hominidae. The record is from RNAcentral.